This 253-nucleotide ribosomal RNA is filed under the name uncultured bacterium. RNAcentral describes it as "partial 16S ribosomal RNA". It matches the Rfam family "Bacterial small subunit ribosomal RNA", at positions 524 to 776 of the family's 1533-position model. The record is from RNAcentral.
GACAGAGGGUGCAAACGUUGCUCGGAAUCACUGGGCGUAAAGGGCGUGUAGGCGGGCAGGUAAGUCGGGCGUGAAAUCCCUGAGCUCAACUCAGGAACUGCACUCGAAACUACUUGUCUUGAGUAUCGGAGAGGAAAGCGGAAUACCUGGUGUAGAGGUGAAAUUCGUAGAUAUCAGGUGGAACACCAGUGGCGAAGGCGGCUUUCUGGACGGUAACUGACGCUGAGACGCGAAAGCGUGGGGAGCGAACAGG